GACGAACGCUGGCGGCGUGCCUAAUACAUGCAAGUAGAACGCUGAAGGAGGAGCUUCCUUCUCCGGAGGAGUUCCGAACGCGGGAGUAUCACGUAUGUAACCUGCCUGGUUGCUGGGGGUAACUAUUGGAAACGAUAGUUAAUACCGCAUAACAUUAGAUCUUGCAUGAUAUCUACGUGAAAUGUGCAAUUUCCUCACUACCAUAUGGACCUGCGUUGUAUUAGCUAGUUGGGGAGGGAACGGCUCACCGAGGCGAAGAUACAUAGCCGACCUGGGAGGGGGAUCGGCCAACAUGGGACGGAGACACGGCCCAAACUCCUAAGGGAGGCAGCAGUAGGGAAUCUUCGGCAAUGGACGGAAGUCUGACCGAGCAACGCCGCGGGAGUGAAGAAGGUUUUCGGAUCGUAAAACUCUGUUGUAAGAGAAGAACGAGUGUGAGAGUGGAAAGCUCACAUUGUGACGGUAUCUAACCAGAAAGGGACGGCUAACUACGUG
Molecule: ribosomal RNA, 495 nt
Filed under: uncultured bacterium
Lineage: Bacteria
Description: partial 16S ribosomal RNA
Rfam family: Bacterial small subunit ribosomal RNA
Source: RNAcentral